Non-coding RNA from Acanthosepion pharaonis, 111 nucleotides. The record is from the annotation of a GenBank genome assembly. NCBI's taxonomy places the organism in Eukaryota, Metazoa, Mollusca, Cephalopoda, Sepiida, Sepiidae.
UUACGGCCAUAUCUCAGUGAAACACCUGUUCCCUACGAUCACCGAAGUUAAGCAACGUCGAGCCUGACAAGUUCUUAAAUGAGUGACCGCUAGGGAAUACCAUGGGCUGUU